Molecule: long non-coding RNA, 461 nt
Organism: Anolis carolinensis (green anole)
Lineage: Eukaryota; Metazoa; Chordata; Lepidosauria; Squamata; Anolidae
Exons: 3
Source: RefSeq, a predicted model, not a curated record
AGCAGCCAGGCUUUGAAGCUGCAAGGCUAUUCAAUGGUAUUCAAGUUGGGUAACUAUGGAGUCCCCUAGGUAUGAAGCAGCCAGGCUUUGGAGCUGCAAGGCUAUUCAAUGGCAUUCAAGUUGGGUAAAUAUGGAGUCCCCUAGGUAUGAAGCAGCCAGGCUUUGGAGCUGCAAGGCUAUUCAAUGGCAUUCAAGUUGGGUAAAUAUGGAGUCCCCUAGGUAUGAAGCAGCCAGGCUUUGGAGCUGCAAGGCUAUUCAAUGGCAUUCAAGUUGGGUAAAUAUGGAGUCCCCUAGGUAUGAAGCAGCCAGGCUUUGGAGCUGCAAGGCUAUUCAAUGGCAUUCAAGUUGGGUAAAUAUGGAGUCCCCUAGGUAUGAAGCAGCCAGGCUUUGGAGCUGCAAGGCUAUUCACUGGCAUUCAAGUUGGCCAAGAAUGGAGUCCCCUAGGUAUGAAGCAGUCAGGC